RNAcentral lists this long non-coding RNA (1555 nucleotides) under Macaca fascicularis (crab-eating macaque). RNAcentral's name for it is "lncRNA (ENSMFAG00000058447.1)". The record is from RNAcentral. Lineage: Eukaryota; Metazoa; Chordata; Mammalia; Primates; Cercopithecidae.
UUAGUAGAGAUAGGUUUCACCGAAUUAGCGAGGAUUGUCUCGAUCUCCUGACCUCGUGAUGUGCCCGGCUCGGCCUCCCAAAGUGCUGAGAUUACAGGCAUGAGCCACCAUGCCCAGCCAAUCAUCUCCUCUUUUACAUAAUGGGUUUUUCCUCACUUGUGUGCCCAUGGCUUGCUGUCCUCAAAUUAAUGCUAAAGAUAGCAACCUGGAGGUUAAGCCAAUAUGGGAAGGGAACAAGGAGAAACAAUGGGGAAGAUGAGCCAGAGAGUCAUUCUGGGGACUGAGGAUUUGCCUUUUUGCCAUAAGCGCUGGAUAGAUAGCUGAUGUCAGGUGUGGCCAGUUGAAUUCAUUCGACCAACAGUUGUUGGACUCCUGCAUGCUUGUGCUCUCCGUCUCUCAUAUAUAUAUAAUAUAUAUAAAAUGUAAACAUAUAUGGGCCCUGUGUGUGCAGUGAUGAAAGACUGACAUGGCUCUGCCUUCAUAUUAUUUAUUUAUUUUUAUUUUUUGGAGAUGGAGUCUCACUCUGUCGCCCAGGGUGGCAUGCAGUGGAGCGAUCUCAGCUCACUCCAACCUCCACCUCCCAGAUUCAAGAGAAUCUCUUGAACCCAGGAAGUGGAGGUUGCAGUGAGCCGAGAUUGCGCCACUGUACUCCAGCCUGGGCAAUAGAGCAAGACUCUGUCUCAAAAACAAAAAACAAACAAAACCAUACACGAACAGAAAUUAAAAAUGGUAGAAUUUAAAUUUCAUUUUCUCCUACCCUGGGCACACAUGUGACAAAAUCCAGUGUAUAUCGUUCUGAACAGUCUCAGGGUACAGCCAUUUUAUAUUGCACAAGCUGUAAAAGUAGUAAUUUUCAAACUAAACUAUUACUUAAAAUGAUCACAAGUAUUUAAAAUGUUUAAAAUAAAGAUCCAACCCAGUUCACUUGGGAAAGUUUGGCAGUUCCUUAAAAUGUUGAACAUAGGGUUAUCAUAUGACGCAGCAGUGAAUUAACCAAAUAAAUAAGACAUGUGAUAGAGGUAUAUACACCCAAGAGAAUGCAAACAUGUCCACACAAAGGCUUGUACAUGAGUAUUUGUAGCAGCAUUAUUCAUAACCAAAAUGUGGAAACCCAAAGUCCAUCAACUGAUGAAUGGUUAAACAAAAUGUCAUAUCUAUACAGUAGAAUCUGUAAAAAGGAAUGCAGUACUGAUACAUGCUUUCUGGAUGAACCUUGAAAACAUUAUGCUGAGUGAAAGAAUUCAGUUGCAAAAGGUCAUUUAUUGGCCAGAAUAGGCAAAUCGAGGAAACAGUUCCCAGGUGCUGGGGGGAGUGGAGACUGGAGAAUGACUGCUAAUAGGUACUGGGCUUCUUUUGUGGGAAGAUGAAAAUGUUCUGAAAAUAGAUGAUGGUGAUCACUGCACAACUCUGUAAUAUAUGAACCAGCUAUUUAAUUGUAUAUUUUUAAAGGGUGAACUUCCCUACUUGCUUCAGCAACAUAUAUACUAAAAGGGUGCGUUUUGUAGUAUGUGAAUGAUAUCUCAACAAAGCUGUUGGGGAAAAAAAAAAAAAAAAA